Asterias rubens (European starfish) is the source of this 799-nucleotide long non-coding RNA. RefSeq lists it as uncharacterized. The transcript is spliced from 5 exons. The record is from RefSeq and is a predicted model, not a curated record. NCBI's taxonomy places the organism in Eukaryota, Metazoa, Echinodermata, Asteroidea, Forcipulatida, Asteriidae.
GACUUAGUUUAAAAAAUGCAUGAAAGGUAACAUCCCAAAGCAGAACCACUUUUUCACUCAAAUUAUUGUUGUUUCCACUUUUUUAGUAAUCCUCGAAGUAACUUUGGUUGUGUUCAUCGUCAUUGGUUACGGACGCAUGAACUCAUCACCACACAAGAAGUCCUUAGCAGAUGACAGAACUGUUCCAACUUGACAUUACUGCAAAUACUGGUUCAUUAAGAUGAUGAGGAGCAGCAGUUUCCUCUCAAGAGAUGCACCAGGGCUUUGAUGAGAACACUUAGAUUGCAGCGUCAUCAUGAAUUCAAACACGUCAUCAUCUCUUUACUACAAGCUGCUCGUACUUCAACUCUGUAAACUAUUCAAUACUAGGAUAAGAAAGCAUUGCGAAAGUUCCGUUGGUUAUUGCCGUGAUGCGUGUGUGUACGCCGUGUAGCUAGGACGGUGGUUAACAAAAACACAACCACUAGAACUCGCAUUUUUCAAGCAUUUUCAAUAUUUAAAGACCUGAAGUCCCAUCCACUAUUCCACGCAAUCGACUGGAAGCAAAUCAGGGAGACAGAAGCCCCUUUCAUCCCAGCCCCAGAUGACAGAACGGACACCACUUAUUUUGACGCUCGGAACAACAUGCAGCAUCUCCAGAUGUCUUCUUUUGCACUUUGACCUCUUGAAUGCAAUCCACAACCCAUCAACAGAAGUAAUGAAACUAUUCCAGGAUGGUGGUCAACUUGGUCCAGUGGUUAGACUGCAGGACUUGCAAUCACAAGGUUGUAGGUUUGAAUCCUACUAAGCUAACUGUGGU